UUAAGCGACUAAGCGUACACGGUGGAUGCCCUGGCAGUCAGAGGCGAUGAAGGACGUGCUAAUCUGCGAAAAGCGUCGGUAAGGUGAUAUGAACCGUUACAGCCGGCGAUGUCCGAAUGGGGAAACCCAGUGUGAUUCGUCACACUAUCGUUAACUGAAUACAUAGGUUAACGAGGCGAACCGGGGGAACUGAAACAUCUAAGUACCCCGAGGAAAGAAAUCAACCGAGAUUCCCCAGUAGCGGCGAGCGAACGGGGAGCAGCCCAGAGUCUGAAUCAGCUUGUGUGUUAGUGGAACGGUCUGGAAAGUCCGACGGUACAGGGUGAUAGUCCCGUACACCAAAAUGCACAGGUUGUGAACUCGAAGAGUAGGGCGGGACACGUGGUAUCCUGUCUGAAUAUGGGGGGACCAUCCUCCAAGGCUAAAUACUCCUGACUGACCGAUAGUGAACCAGUACCGUGAGGGAAAGGCGAAAAGAACCCCGGCGAGGGGAGUGAAAAAGAACCUGAAACCGUGUACGUACAAGCAGUGGGAGCACCCUUUAGGGUGUGACUGCGUACCUUUUGUAUAAUGGGUCAGCGACUUAUAUUCUGUAGCAAGGUUAACCGUAUAGGGGAGCCGCAGGGAAACCGAGUCUUAACUGGGCGUUAAGUUGCAGGGUAUAGACCCGAAACCCGGUGAUCUAGCCAUGGGCAGGUUGAAGGUUGGGUAACACUAACUGGAGGACCGAACCGACUAAUGUUGAAAAAUUAGCGGAUGACUUGUGGCUGGGGGUGAAAGGCCAAUCAAACCGGGAGAUAGCUGGUUCUCCCCGAAAGCUAUUUAGGUAGCGCCUCGUGAAUUCAUCUUCGGGGGUAGAGCACUGUUUCGGCUAGGGGGUCAUCCCGACUUACCAACCCGAUGCAAACUACGAAUACCGAAGAAUGUUAUCACGGGAGACACACGGCGGGUGCUAACGUCCGUCGUGAAGAGGGAAACAACCCAGACCGCCAGCUAAGGUCCCAAAGUCACAGUUAAGUGGGAAACGAUGUGGGAAGGCACAGACAGCCAGGAUGUUGGCUUAGAAGCAGCCAUCAUUUAAAGAAAGCGUAAUAGCUCACUGGUCGAGUCGGCCUGCGCGGAAGAUGUAACGGGGCUAAACUGUGCACCGAAGCUGCGGCAGCGACACUAUGUGUUGUUGGGUAGGGGAGCGUUCUGUAAGCCUGCGAAGGUGGCCUGUGAGGGUUGCUGGAGGUAUCAGAAGUGCGAAUGCUGACAUAAGUAACGAUAAUGCGGGUGAAAAGCCCGCACGCCGGAAGACCAAGGGUUCCUGUCCAACGUUAAUCGGGGCAGGGUGAGUCGACCCCUAAGGCGAGGCCGAAAGGCGUAGUCGAUGGGAAACAGGUUAAUAUUCCUGUACUUGGUGUUACUGCGAAGGGGGGACGGAGAAGGCUAUGUUAGCCGGGCGACGGUUGUCCCGGUUUAAGCAUGUAGGCGGAGGUUCCAGGUAAAUCCGGUACCUUUUAACGCUGAGGUGUGAUGACGAGGCACUACGGUGCUGAAGUAACAAAUGCCCUGCUUCCAGGAAAAGCCUCUAAGCAUCAGGUAACAUUGAAUCGUACCCCAAACCGACACAGGUGGUCAGGUAGAGAAUACCAAGGCGCUUGAGAGAACUCGGGUGAAGGAACUAGGCAAAAUGGUGCCGUAACUUCGGGAGAAGGCACGCUGAUAUGUAGGUGAAGCCCCUGCGGGUGGAGCUGAAAUCAGUCGAAGAUACCAGCUGGCUGCAACUGUUUAUUAAAAACACAGCACUGUGCAAACACGAAAGUGGACGUAUACGGUGUGACGCCUGCCCGGUGCCGGAAGGUUAAUUGAUGGGGUUAUCCGUAAGGAGAAGCUCUUGAUCGAAGCCCCGGUAAACGGCGGCCGUAACUAUAACGGUCCUAAGGUAGCGAAAUUCCUUGUCGGGUAAGUUCCGACCUGCACGAAUGGCGUAAUGAUGGCCAGGCUGUCUCCACCCGAGACUCAGUGAAAUUGAACUCGCUGUGAAGAUGCAGUGUACCCGCGGCAAGACGGAAAGACCCCGUGAACCUUUACUAUAGCUUGACACUGAACAUUGAGCCUUGAUGUGUAGGAUAGGUGGGAGGCUUUGAAGCGUGGACGCCAGUCUGCGUGGAGCCAACCUUGAAAUACCACCCUUUAAUGUUUGAUGUUCUAACGUUGGCCCCUAAUCGGGGUUGCGGACAGUGUCUGGUGGGUAGUUUGACUGGGGCGGUCUCCUCCCAAAGAGUAACGGAGGAGCACGAAGGUUAGCUAAUCCUGGUCGGACAUCAGGAGGUUAGUGCAAUGGCAUAAGCUAGCUUGACUGCGAGCGUGACGGCGCGAGCAGGUGCGAAAGCAGGUCAUAGUGAUCCGGUGGUUCUGAAUGGAAGGGCCAUCGCUCAACGGAUAAAAGGUACUCCGGGGAUAACAGGCUGAUACCGCCCAAGAGUUCAUAUCGACGGCGGUGUUUGGCACCUCGAUGUCGGCUCAUCACAUCCUGGGGCUGAAGUAGGUCCCAAGGGUAUGGCUGUUCGCCAUUUAAAGUGGUACGCGAGCUGGGUUUUAGAACGUCGUGAGACAGUUCGGUCCCUAUCUGCCGUGGGCGCUGGAGAAUUGAGGGGGGGCUGCUCCUAGUACGAGAGGACCGGAGUGGACGCAUCACUGGUGUUCGGGUUGUCAUGCCAAUGGCAUUGCCCGGUAGCUAAAUGCGGAAGAGAUAAGUGCUGAAAGCAUCUAAGCACGAAACUUGCCCCGAGAUGAGUUCUCCCUGAGACUUUAAGUCUCCUGAAGGAACGUUAAAGACGAUGACGUUGAUAGGUCGGGUGUGUAAGCGUAGCGAUACGUUGAGCUAACCGAUACUAAUGAACCGUGAGGCUUAACCUU
This 2904-nucleotide ribosomal RNA is filed under the name Klebsiella aerogenes. Its description in RNAcentral is "23S ribosomal RNA". It matches the Rfam family "Bacterial large subunit ribosomal RNA". The record is from RNAcentral. Lineage: Bacteria; Pseudomonadati; Pseudomonadota; Gammaproteobacteria; Enterobacterales; Enterobacteriaceae.